GUCGAGAAUCUUUCACAAUGGGGGCAACCCUGAUGGAGCGACGCCGCGUGGAGGAUAAGGUCUUCGGAUUGUAAACUCCUGUCAUGCGUGAACAAGGUUGCUUGGUUAAUACCUGGGCAAAUUGAUGGUAACGCAAGCGGAAGAGACGGCUAACUCUGUGCCAGCAGCCGCGGUAAUACAGAGGUCUAAAGCGUUGUUCGGAAUCACUGGGCGUAAAGGGUGCGUAGGUGGCGUGGUAAGUCAGAUGUUAAAGCCCGGGGCUCACCCUCGGAACUACAUCCGAUACUGCCAUGCUAGAGUACUGGAGAGGUGACUAGAACUCUCGGUGUAGCAGUGAAAUGCGUAGAUAUCGAGAGGAAUACCAAAGGCGUAGGCAGGUCACUGGACAGUUACUGACACUGAGGCACGAAGGCCAGGGGAGCGAACGGGAUUAGAUACCCUUGUAGUCC
This 449-nucleotide ribosomal RNA is filed under the name uncultured bacterium. RNAcentral describes it as "partial 16S ribosomal RNA". It matches the Rfam family "Bacterial small subunit ribosomal RNA", at positions 354 to 796 of the family's 1533-position model. The record is from RNAcentral.